Molecule: ribosomal RNA, 393 nt
Filed under: uncultured bacterium
Lineage: Bacteria
Description: partial 16S ribosomal RNA
Rfam family: Bacterial small subunit ribosomal RNA
Source: RNAcentral
AUACGGAGGAUCCGAGCGUUAUCCGGAUUUUUUGGGUUUCACGGGUGCGUCGGCGGACGCUUACGUCAGUUGUGAAAGUUUGCGGCUCAACCGUAAAAUUGCAGUUGAUACUGGGUGUCUUGAGUACAGUAGAGGCAGGCGGAAUUCGUGGUGUAGCGGUGAAAUGCUUAGAUAUCACGAAGAACUCCGAUUGCGAAGGCAGCCUGCUGGACUGUAACUGACGCUGAUGCUCGAAAGUGUGUGUAUCAAACAGGAUUAGAUACCCUGGUAGUCCGCACAGUAAACGAUGAAUACUCGCUGUUUGCGAUACACUGUAAGCGGCCAAGCGAAGGCGUUAAGUAUUCCACCUGGGGAGUACGCCGGCAACGGUGAAACUCAAAGGAAUUGACGGGG